CCCCUGAAUGGGUGGUAAUGCAUCCAGCCCUUCGGGGCAGGGGAGACAGGUGGUGCAUGGUUGUCGUCAGCUCGUGUCGUGAGAUGUUGGGUUAAGUCCCGCAACGAGCGCAACCCCUAUCCUUAGUAGCCAGCGAGCAAGACGGGCACUCUAGGGAGACUGCCGGGGAUAACCCGGAGGAAGGUGGGGAUGACGUCAAAUCAUCAUGCCCCUUAUGGCCUGGGCUACACACGUGCUACAAUGGCGUAAACAAAGGGAAGCGAAGGCGUGAGCGUAAGCAAAACCCAAAAAUAACGUCCCAGUUCGGAUUGUAGUCUGCAACCCGACUACAUGAAGCUGGAAUCGCUAGUAAUCGCGGAUCAGAAUGCCGCGGUGAAUACGUUCCCGGGUCUUGUACACACCGCCCGUCACACCAUGGGAGUCGGAAAUGCCCGAAGUCGGUGACCCAACCUGAAAGGGAGGGAGCCGCCGAAGGCAGGUCUGGUGACUGGGGUGAAGUCGUAACAAGGUAGCCGUAUCGGAAGGU
Molecule: ribosomal RNA, 526 nt
Filed under: uncultured bacterium
Lineage: Bacteria
Description: bacterial SSU rRNA
Rfam family: Bacterial small subunit ribosomal RNA
Source: RNAcentral